UAGGGAAUCUUCGGCAAUGGACGAAAGUCUGACCGAGCAACGCCGCGUGAGUGAAGAAGGUUUUCGGAUCGUAAAACUCUGUUGGUAGAGAAGAACGUUGGUGAGAGUGGGAAGCUCAUCAAGUGACGGUAACUACCCAGAAAGGGACGGCUAACUACGUGCCAG
This 165-nucleotide ribosomal RNA is filed under the name uncultured bacterium. RNAcentral's name for it is "partial 16S ribosomal RNA". It matches the Rfam family "Bacterial small subunit ribosomal RNA", at positions 355 to 511 of the family's 1533-position model. The record is from RNAcentral.